UAUCAAUAAGCGGAGGAAAAGAAACCAACAGGGAUUGCCUCAGUAACGGCGAGUGAAGCGGCAACAGCUCAAAUUUGAAAUCUGGCCCCGGCGGGGUCCGAGUUGUAAUUUGCAGAGGGUGCUUCGGGCGCGAUGCCGGUCUAAGUUCCUUGGAACAGGACGUCGUAGAGGGUGAGAAUCCCGUAUGCGACCGGCGAUCAAGCCCGUGCGAAGCCCCUUCGACGAGUCGAGUUGUUUGGGAAUGCAGCUCAAAAUGGGUGGUAAAUUUCAUCUAAAGCUAAAUACCGGCCAGAGACCGAUAGCGGACAAGUAGAGUGAUCGAAAGAUGAAAAGCACUUUGGAAAGAGAGUCAAACAGUACGUGAAAUUGUUGAAAGGGAAGCGCUUGCGAUCAGACCGGUCUGCCGGCGAUCAGCCGCUGCUCGUCAGCGGUGCACUCGCCGGCGAUCCGGCCAGCAUCGGUUCAGGCGGCGGGACAAAAACCCCGGGAACGUAGCUUCUCUCGGGGAGUCUUAUAGCCCGGGGCAUCAUGCCGCCCGCCCGGACCGAGGACCGCGCUUCGGCUAGGAUGCUGGCGUAAUGGUCGCAAGCGACCCGUCUUGAAACACGGACCAAGGAGUCUAACAUCUAUGCGAGUGUGUGGGUGUCAAACCCAGGCGCGGAAUGAAAGUGAACGGAGGUGGGAACCCGUCAGACGGCGCACCAUCGACCGAUCCAGAUGUCCUCGGAUGGAUUUGAGUAUGAGCAUAGCUGUUGGGACCCGAAAGAUGGUGAACUAUGCCCGGAUAGGGUGAAGCCAGAGGAAACUCUGGUGGAGGCUCGCAGCGGUUCUGACGUGCAAAUCGAUCGUCAAAUCUAGGCAUAGGGGCGAAAGACCAAUCGAACCAUCUAGUAGCUGGUUCCUGUCGAAGUUUCCCUCAGGAUAGCAGUAACGUUUUCAGUUUUAUGAGGUAAAGCGAAUGAUUAGAGGCCUUGGGGCUGAAACAGCCUUAACCUAUUCUCAAACUUUAAAUAUGUAAGAAGUCCUUGUUGCUUCGUUGAACGUGGACAUUUGAAUGCACCGUUACUAGUGGGCCAUUUUUGGUAAGCAGAACUGGCGAUGCGGGAUGAACCGAACGCGAGGUUAAGGUGCCGGAAUGCACGCUCAUCAGACACCACAAAAAGUGUCAAUUCAUCCAGACAGCCGGACGGUGGCCAUGGAAGUCGGAAUCCGCUAAGGAGUGUGUAACAACUCACCGGCCGAAUGAAUUGGCCUUGAAAAUGGAUGGCGCUCAAGCGUGCUACCCAUACCUCGCCGCCAGGGUAGACACGAUGCCCU
RNAcentral lists this ribosomal RNA (1317 nucleotides) under Sticta ciliata. RNAcentral's name for it is "eukaryotic LSU rRNA". It matches the Rfam family "Eukaryotic large subunit ribosomal RNA", at positions 41 to 1375 of the family's 3401-position model. Lineage: Eukaryota; Fungi; Ascomycota; Lecanoromycetes; Peltigerales; Lobariaceae. The record is from RNAcentral.